UUACCAAAACGCAUUCUCCAUGUUGACCAGUAUACGCAUCUUCUUGAUUCAUUGUGAAACUUCCAUGAUCCCAAGGAAUUAGCUCAGCUGGGGUGCAAGGGAGGUAAGCAUCGAAUUGGAAUUCCUCAAACACGAGUUGUAUAGUAUUGUGUUCUAUGGAAGGCAUUGUAAAUACGGGCUGUGUAAGCAGUAAAGAAUAGUCUGCCAUGCUAGGUUCCAUCACACCUACAUUGCGCAUUACCAAGUCCCAUACGGCUGUUUCUGUGCUCCAAUGGACCAAAUACCCCUACUAGUAUUAGUAAACAUAAUCUUUGUAUUUAUUUUGUUCGUAAAUAAUACUCCCUCAUAAAUGCUGUACCUUUUCAUGCGCCCUGCGAAAUUGUAAAGUUGUAAAGUCGUUACAGUUGGCCAAUUCAUUCCCCAAAAAUAAUCUGUUUCCAUCUUUUGAUCUCGUCAAACAAUUCGGAAUUUCACUAAAAACUAUCGUUAGCUGAAAAAAGUAAAAGAUACAUGAAAUUUAUUGACGUGAUGCACUUCUUCUUACACAACUUUUCCACCUGCAAAUCCAGCUUUUAUAUGGUAUGCCCCAUUGUCUAAAACAAUAGUUUUAGGGGGUAGUCCCAUAUUAUUAAUAAAAAUGUAUUCCUAUAUCUUAGGUCUUAACUUCACCCAAAAACCGCGAUUAAAUGUACUGUUGUUACGGCUUUGGAAUGCUGUUAUAUGAUAGCGUUGUGCUAUAACAACAAUAUCAUUACAGUUUGAAGCAAUAGUAUAAUAACGCUGGCUCUUAAAGAUAUUUAUGAUAUUUUUAAUAAUAUCAUAAAUUUGAAGGAUAUCUUUUUAAAAUAACUUUAAAGAUAAAUCUUGCAAAUCUUAGCUUUAUCAAUAUAACAACAUCGUUAAUGGGGGGCUGUCUAUCAAAUUUAGUUUGUAAAAGCCGUUUAUCAUAUUAUCCAACCCCUAAACUAGCCGUUAUCAAUUUAGUUAGCUGCUUAAUUCAACGUACAUCUAAUAUACCAUUCAUAAACACCGACUUUCCCUAUACUACUAAAUCGUGGAUACUUAACUUUAUGCUUAUUUCCUCAAGAAAAAUAUAUUUCUAUUUCAUUUUCUCAUCAACUUGCGUUUGUCAAUUCGCAUAAAGUAAAAGCAAAUGAACUAGUAUUAAUCGAUUUUAAAACUUCUCAUAUUUAUUAACUGGUAUAUUAUGAUUUUAAAUUUCAUUUAAUCAAUUGGCGUUCCAAAAUUCUUAUAAAAGAAACACACCUCUGCGUUUGUUUUCACCGAACUGUAAACCGAUACAACAAUAAUUUUCUUAGCCUUCCCUUUAGACAAACCCUCCAUCCAUUUUUCCCAAGCCAUAAUUCCGGGUCGUAUCUCAUUGAAGAAAUUAUUUUUACAAACCCGUAGAGUUUGAUUUCCCAUUUAAAAAGAGCCGUUCAAAUAUGUCAGUUUGGCUUAUUACCACUGUGUAGAAAAUGCUUGUUUUAUAUUUUUAUAUUUUAUUACCAAAAUUGGACAGGCUUAGAGCGCCAAACAGGCUCAUGUUUUAUCGGAAGCGACAGCAAGGGUAGAGGGUUUUUCAGUUACCAAUCUCUGUAAGGAUUGCUGCUCGGAUGCUUCCAAAUUUUUGACAAGAUCUUGUAAUGUGACAGGGCUGUUGUCCUUUAAAUGAACCAUAAACUCUUGGAAAAGUGAAAAUGGAUCAACUUGAUCUAACAAAGUAUGGAAAAGAGGAUCCUCGUCCAACAAGUAAUUUCCUUGGAAAUGCUCAAAUUCGUCAAAAUCGUCAACCACAUCAGCCGAGAUUUCUCCACCCAAAUCAGGUCCCCCAUAUUCGACGGCAAAGUCAUCGACACCCUCAUCAUCAUCGGCUUCCCAAUCGAUGCCAUCAUUCCAACCAGAGCCAGAUAAAUUAAAUGUUUCACCGUCAUACUCUUUUUCUAAUUCCGCGCGAGCAGCUAAUGCUUCAGGUAGUGUAUUUAAAAGAGUUAUCAUGACUUUCAUUAUAUUACCCCAAGAGUCUUGGAUAGCAACAGCAACUUGUUGAGCUCCCAGUGAAAUUACCGAUAAAAUAGCUACCAAACUCAACUUUUUAUCAUGCACACGAGUAAACGAAGGUAUAUUUUCAAACCAUAACGCAAAGAAUGGUAAAGUCCACUGAUGCAUUUCAAGUACCCCAAGAGACAUCGAUGGGUUAUAAUAUAAUGCAUUGAUUAUAACCUCCAACAAAAAUACGCGGUAUGUUUGAGAAGUUGGCUUUUCAGUUACAAGUAAGAGAUUACCAGCAACCUCAAUAAACGCAGGCACAUAUUGAUCCAAAAGGCCACGAUAAUUAAGCAUUAAAAGUUCGGUUAGUUUACAAGCCGAAACACGGUCAUUGACGGCCAGGUGCUCGCUAUUAAAAACUUGCAUGAUAAUAUCAACCAUAACGGCGAUAUAAUCAGGACGGGAAGCAAAUUCCUUUCCACCAUACGUGAUAAAGUUACUUAAGGCAGGAGUUGCCUCCUCUACAAACUCAAUGCCAGACUCUUUCAACACCUUUUGAAGCUUUUCAUACACGCCCCACAUAAUAGGGGAUAUCUCCUUAGAAGCAAAAGUGCAACCAUCGAUAAUUUCAAACAACUCUGCAUACACGUCAAAAAUGUUGUUAUCUAAUACAAAAUUAAUCAUUGGAAGUAAGAUUGCUUCAAUUUCACGUAAGACAUCAACCGUGUUCUCGAGACUUAAAAUCAUUGUACUGAGAGUAUUUAAAAUGCCAAUAGCCGCAAUCGAUUUAUCAUCAACUAAGGAGUCAAAAUCAUCUACGGUAGUAGAUUCGUCCAUGGUUUCUUGCAUAAGCUUGACGAAGGUAUUGCGAAGUUGUUUAGCCAAUUGUGAAGCAAAAGGUGUUAACUCGUGACUAAAAGAACUUACAAAUUCCUCCAUACAAGAAGAUAAAGCAUCAAUAUCAACUUCAUUCGCCAGAAAUAGGAGAUUUUGCAUAAUGAUGGGUACAUGGGCGGUCAUAACAUCGUGUACCUCCAGAUGACGCAUAAGUGGUUGCAAAGCUAAAGCAGCUUGAAUUCUCACAGGUAAAUCGUUAUCUUGAAGACAAUUCAAAACUGCCUGGUAUGCAUUCAAAAGCUGCGAUUUAUCACUCCAAUCAAUUUCUGAAAACCGAUUGAUCAUUUCACAAGCUCGAGAUCGUAAAUAACCAACUGGGCUAGUAAAUUCGGGCAUAACGUGAGCGACAAGGAAAUCUUGCAUCAUGCCUGCAACAGGGGAGUUCUUAGAAAGGAUGGAAUUAGAUACAGCAGCAACCAUACGAAGUGCACCUUCUUUCUGGCGAGGAUUUUUUUCAUUAGGAGGUGAAGCGGCGUAUUGGUUCAGGAUGUCACUGGCGAAGGAAAGAAUACCCAUGAACGUAUAUUUCUUGCGUUUCGAUGCUAAUUUCACAAGGAACCGUGAAGCAGCAACAUCAGCAGAAUUGAAAUCAUCAUAGAUAUCAAUAUAUUUGUGAAUAAACUCUACUGGAUCAAGUUCCCAAAGUUCUUCAUCUUCUUCGCUCAUACAUAAUUGAGGAAACACAAAGCUGCCAAUCAAUAGUUGAAGAUGAGGCUUGAGGAGUGCCCAAGUGGACUUUGGCUUCACACACUCUUCAUAGAAGCAUCCCAAAAAAUACAAAACACGGGGAGAUAACCAGAGCUGACCUUGAGUCCAAAGAAUAGUUUGUUGAAUGUAUGUCUCCAGAAUGUUGGGAACAACAUUUGUAAUGAAGUUCUUUGCAAAAGCACGGUAUUUGUUUGCAGAAUCACCCACCAAAGAGCUAGGCUCUCCAUAUCUAGUGAAUAUUCUAUUCAAAGAAUAAUACGCCCAUUUUUUACAUUUAUGCCAAACAUGAGAUUGACGGACCUCUGGUUCAAGCGACAUCAAAGAUUCGGGGAGAGGUUUUUGCACCACUGCUAAUAAAAGCUGGAUCCAGGAAAGAAUCAUAUCGUUAGCAAGUAACUCCGGAGGAAGCUCAAGGGCAAUGACAGAUUUAAAUGUCUUUAAAAUAAGACGAAGCAUUUCGGCUGAAUCAUUGUCUUCAAGAUUGAUAAGACCCUGACCAAGUUGAAGAAUAGUGGGGAAAAGUGCUGCGACUAACGGACCAAUGUCACGUUGACGGUCAUCCAAACGCCAGCGGUAUACUUUAGCCAACUCAUGAAAACAAAUAAGACCAGCAUACACCUCACAACGUUCGGUUGAGUGAACGAGGUUAGAAGUGUAUUCGCUGAAUCCGGGCCAAUAUUCGGGGAAAUCGGUUGACAAGAUGAUAUUAAGGAUCGCCAUCAAAUGAGACCUUGUCGACAUUGGGCUUUGCAAGAGCACCGGAAGAAUGUUUUGCCUGAACAAAGCUUUUUGCUCUUCCGGAAUAUCCAAAGGUGAUGGAGCAUCAUCGAUACUAGACCAAGAACGAGAUACCCGAUUUUUUAAAUAAAUAACGGCUAAAUUCAAUAAUGUUAGCUAUAACAUCUUCAAGACAUGAUAAUGAAUUAAAUAGGAAUUGAGUAAACAAAUCAGGUUCUCAACCAAAAAAAAAAAUAAAUAAAUAAAUAAAAAGAUGAGAAUGCCUAAGAAAACAGAAGGAUAAUUAAUUAAAAAUGAAAUUAAUAGCUUUUUUUUGUGCUAAUACAAAAUAAAAAAAAUUUUGAGAUACAGUACGAUAACAUUAUAACCUUUCAUCACGUAUUCAAAAGAGCUCUAACUAAGAAUUAUGCAAACAGCAAAAAUUCUAGAUACGGUUUCAAGGUAAUUCCUAUUUCUCAAACAAUUCACACUUACCUGCCUGUUGAGUAGGCAAAGAAAUUUCUUGACUACUUAAAAGUUGUAAAACCGCCAAAACAAAACUGGGCUCUUUUUCUAACUGUUUUAGUGAAAGUUCGGCCUUAGUGCGAGUGUUGGGAUCAGCGCUCAAAGUCGCAUCGAAAUGCUCAACCAAAGACAUUUUGCAUCUGUCCGAAAUCGCAAAAUGAAAUAUAAAACUUUUAGUUUGCUGUGGUUACACAAAAAACUUCUACAUACUGAGGAAUACUUUCAAGGAAACUGAGUGUGCUAUAAAAUAAUAUGGUAAAAAUCAUAACGCACUCUCUUAGAGUGCAGAAUAUUUUAGCUACGCAGUUUGGUAUCUGAUUUAAGGAUACGUAGAACUGCGGUGAGUUUUCCUUGUGAUCUAUUAUAUUGCAAUACACAUGUGAUAUAAGUAGCAACUGAGUAUAGGUAUUGUAUUAACUAGGUUAUAAUGUUACCUACCACUAAUAUAGCUCAUAACUGAACUGAGGAACGAGGUUCAGUUGGAACUCUAUUUAUAAUAUUUCUAAGUAAUUGUUAUCAACGGGUAUCUAUGAAUAUAGACGGAUAGUUACCCGUGAUGAUCAAUAAGCG
This is a non-coding RNA of Schizosaccharomyces pombe (fission yeast), 5406 nucleotides long. Lineage: Eukaryota; Fungi; Ascomycota; Schizosaccharomycetes; Schizosaccharomycetales; Schizosaccharomycetaceae. The record is from the annotation of a GenBank genome assembly.